Symphalangus syndactylus (siamang) is the source of this 413-nucleotide long non-coding RNA. RefSeq lists it as uncharacterized. Lineage: Eukaryota; Metazoa; Chordata; Mammalia; Primates; Hylobatidae. The record is from RefSeq and is a predicted model, not a curated record.
GCUUCCUCUUCUGCCAUAAUUGUAAGUUUCCUGAGGCCUCCCCAGCCAUGCAGAACUGGCUCUGUAUCUUGCUGCACUCUCUCUUGCCUUCUUAGCUUGGAUUCUUUGAUGAAACAAGCCACCAUAUUGGAGCAUUCCACCUGCCAAAGAACUGAAGGCAAGCUUCAGCCAACAGCCAGCAAGGAACUAAGAUCUUCAGCCCAAAGCCACAGGGAACUGAGUCCUGCCAACUGCCACAUCAGUGAGCAUAGAUGGGAUCCUCCACAGUUGAACUUUCAGAUGAGACCAGAGCCACACCUGACAAUUUGAUUGCAGCCUUGCAGACAACCCUGAAGCAGAGGCCCCAGUUCAAUCAUGCUGGGAUUCCCGACCCACAGAAUCCAUGAGAAAAUAAAUGUGUGUGUUUAAGCCUC